UGGUCAACCAUCUCAUCCCCCUCCUUCUCUGCGGCAUCUGCGCCGCAGCUGCAGCCGGCGGCUCCACCGCCAUCUCUCUCCAGAAGGCCAAUGAUGACAACGAAUGCGUCUACACCAUCUACGUCCGCACCGGAUCGAUCUGGAAAGCCGGCACGGACUCCAUCAUCAGCAUCGAACUUUUCGGCCGCGAUGGCUACGGUAUCCGCAUCCCCAACUUGGAGACGUGGGGCGGGCUGAUGGGAGUUGAUUACAACUACUUCGAGAGGGGCAACCUCGACAUCUUCAGCGGCAGGGGACCCUGCCUGCCGUCGACACCGUGCUCCAUCAACGUCACCUCCGACGGCAGUGGGGCGCACCAUGGUUGGUACUGCAACUACGUCGAGGUCACAGUGACGGGUCCGCAUCUCCCUUGUGAUCAGCAGCUGUUUACGAUCGAACAGUGGCUGGCUACCGAUACGUCGCCGUACAAGCUGUUUGCGGCGGUAGAUGUCUGCCCUCCCGCUGAGGACAUCGCUGUCGCCAGAGCUGGAGUUGGAGGCCUUGGCCGGCGUGGUCUGCCCGACCAAGAAGCGUGAUGAGCCGGCAGUUCGGUCCGGUUUCCGGUUUAGUUGGAAUGAAUAUUUAAUAUGAAUAUUUAAUUAAAUAAUGUAUUAUGUUUGAAAGGGAUCAUGCAUCUCAUGGUAUCCCGUUGUUUUCAAAUCACAUCAUUAUAAAUGGCGUGAUGUGUUUAUUUUCUUAA
RNAcentral lists this unclassified non-coding RNA (739 nucleotides) under Hevea brasiliensis (rubber tree). Lineage: Eukaryota; Viridiplantae; Streptophyta; Magnoliopsida; Malpighiales; Euphorbiaceae. The record is from RNAcentral.